RNAcentral lists this ribosomal RNA (433 nucleotides) under uncultured bacterium. Its description in RNAcentral is "partial 16S ribosomal RNA". It matches the Rfam family "Bacterial small subunit ribosomal RNA", at positions 29 to 507 of the family's 1533-position model. The record is from RNAcentral.
AACGAACGCUGGCGGCAUGCCUAACACAUGCAAGUCGAACGAGACCUUCGGGUCUAGUGGCGCACGGGUGCGUAACGCGUGGGAACCUGCCCUUAGGUUCGGAAUAACUCCCUGAAAGGGGUGCUAAUACCGGAUAAUGUCUUCGGACCAAAGAUUUAUCGCCUUUGGAUGGGCACGCGUUGGAUUAGCUAGUUGGUAGGGUAAAAGCCUACCAAGGCUACGAUCCAUAGCUGGUCUGAGAGGAUGAUCAGCCACACUGGGACUGAGACACGGCCCAGACUCCUACGGGAGGCAGCAGUGGGUAAUAUUGGACAAUGGGCGAAAGCCUGAUCCAGCUAUGCCGCGUGAGUGAUGAAGGCCUUAGAGUUGUAAAGCUCUUUUACCCGGGAUGAUAAUGACGGUACCGGGAGAAUAAGCACCGGCUAACUCCGUG